UUCGUAUUCCGCGGAACAUAGUUGAUGAAGGCGUAUCCUCGGGCUUGGUCGAUGGUGUGGAACAGUGGGUUCCAGUCGAACAUGGCGAUCAUGAAGCCGGGCAGGGAAUUGGCAACGAACAUCUUGCCCGACGCGAUCAUGUUCGCGCGUUU
This 152-nucleotide non-coding RNA is filed under the name Marivita geojedonensis. RNAcentral describes it as "Ruegeria cis2 sRNA". It matches the Rfam family "Ruegeria cis2 sRNA". Rfam says of the family: Cis-encoded. Targets ABC transporter. Functions in transport. The record is from Rfam by way of RNAcentral. Lineage: Bacteria; Pseudomonadati; Pseudomonadota; Alphaproteobacteria; Rhodobacterales; Roseobacteraceae.